AACGAACGCUGGCGGCAGGCCUAACACAUGCAAGUCGAGCGAGGACUUCGGUCCUAGCGGCGGACGGGUGAGUAACGCGUGGGAACGUGCCCCUUGGUACGGAAUAGCCCCGGGAAACUGGGAGUAAUACCGUAUGAGCUCUACGGAGGAAAGAUUUAUCGCCAAGGGAUCGGCCCGCGUUGGAUUAGGUAGUUGGUGGGGUAAUGGCCUACCAAGCCGACGAUCCAUAGCUGGUUUGAGAGGAUGAUCAGCCACACUGGGACUGAGACACGGCCCAGACUCCUACGGGAGGCAGCAGUGGGGAAUCUUAGACAAUGGGCGCAAGCCUGAUCUAGCCAUGCCGCGUGGGCGAUGAAGGCCUUAGGGUUGUAAAGCUCUUUCAGCUGGGAAGAUAAUGACUGUACCAGCAGAAGAAGCCCCGGCUAACUCCGUGCCAGCCGCCGCCGUAA
Molecule: ribosomal RNA, 449 nt
Filed under: uncultured bacterium
Lineage: Bacteria
Description: partial 16S ribosomal RNA
Rfam family: Bacterial small subunit ribosomal RNA
Source: RNAcentral